GGAGUUUGGACCGUGUCUCAGUUCCAAUGUGGGGGACCUUCCUCUCAGAACCCCUACUGAUCGGUGGCUAGGUGGGCCGUUGCCCCGCCUACUGCCUAAUCAGACGCAUCCCCAUCCUGAGGCGAUGAAUCUUUCGUCACGCUCAGAUGCCUUUUCGUGACAGCAUAGGGUAUUAAUCCGGUUUUCGCCGGGCUAUUCCCUAGUAAGGGGAAGGUUGGAUACGCGUUACUCACCCGUGCGCCGGUCGCCAUCAAAGUUUGCAAGCAAACUUCAUGCUGCCCCUCGACUUGCAUGUGUUAAGCCUGUAGCUAGCGUUCAUC
RNAcentral lists this ribosomal RNA (320 nucleotides) under uncultured Prevotella sp. RNAcentral describes it as "partial 16S ribosomal RNA". Lineage: Bacteria; Pseudomonadati; Bacteroidota; Bacteroidia; Bacteroidales; Prevotellaceae. The record is from RNAcentral.